Molecule: long non-coding RNA, 582 nt
Filed under: Homo sapiens (human)
Lineage: Eukaryota; Metazoa; Chordata; Mammalia; Primates; Hominidae
Description: HSALNT0147396
Source: RNAcentral
GUAGUUCUUAUUUUUAUUUUAUUGCAAGUGCCUUAGGGAUACCUUGUGUACACAAUCAUGUCAUAUAUGAAUAACAACAGUUUACCUUUUGUUUCUUCUUGCUUUGUCGUAAUGGCUAGGACCUUCAACCUAAUGUUGAAUAGAAGCGGUGUGUGAGUUGUUACUCUUGUCUUAUUCUCAACAGCAGAGGAUAGCGUCUAGUUUUUCACUAUUAAAAUAUGUUAGCUAUAGGUUUUUUCCGUUUCAUGUUUUUAUCAGAUUGAAGAUCCCUUUUAUUCCUAUUUUGCCAAGAGUGUCAUGAAUGCAUGUUGAAUUUCACCAAGUACUUUUUCCUGCAUCUGUUGAGAGAAUCUUGACUUUUCUCUUUUAUUUUGUUAAUGUAGAUUCUUUAAUGUUAAACUGAUCUUGCAUUCCUGAUAUAAACCAUACUUAGUCAUGAUAUGUUAUCCCCUUUAUAUAAUGCUGGAUUCGGUUUGCAAAUAUUUUGUUUGAUUUUUGCAUCUAUGCUCAUGAGACAGAUUGGUCUGUGAUUUUCCUUUCUUGUAAGUCUUGUCAGGUGUCAGGGCUUGGUUAAUUUUGACA